Daphnia pulicaria is the source of this 638-nucleotide long non-coding RNA. RefSeq lists it as uncharacterized. The transcript has 5 exons. The record is from RefSeq and is a predicted model, not a curated record. NCBI's taxonomy places the organism in Eukaryota, Metazoa, Arthropoda, Branchiopoda, Diplostraca, Daphniidae.
UUGUUAGAAACAAUCGCUAGAUGGUGCCAGUGCUUCAUGCAGAAUUGCAGACACGUAACAACCAAACAUGAUGCAUGUUUUGUAAAUGCUAAAUCCAAGAACUUUGAGUCAUCAUUUCACUUGAUUGACUUUCUUUCCCGAUUUUAAUAAUGGUGAGCUGCAGUUUGAACAUGUCAACUAACAGUGAUCAAUUGCAAGUACUUACCUGAGCAGCUGAGCUCUUUUCCUUUCUGUGGUUCCUUUCAAUUGAUUCAUUUGAGUUAAAUCCCUCGCUGCUGUUCCAGACCUUAUCCACUAGUGGAAUAUGCAGAGAGAUGUUGAACUUAUUCCAGGUUAACCCUUCACCAUUGUGCUACAAUAUGAAGAAGUUGAUGGUUAAAGAAGAGCUUGCUUUCAAUCAACAACAAUAAAUUGUGUAGACGUAGAUAAAUUACGAGUGCAUAUCUGGGCUCCAUUCUUUUCAUACAUUGGUUUCGGAUUAACGGAAUUAUUUCUUUCAUCAAAGGAAUGAAAUUUUAGGUGCAUGAUUGUGCGGUUAUUGGUUAUAGUUAAUAUUCUUACUUACCGCGUCAACUUCUUUUAUGACAAAAACCCUCGACAUUUUAUGUUAUUUAACAAGUCUCCCCCCUCUUUGCUUU